GCAUUAUACCGCGAAACUGCGAAUGGCUCAUUAAAUCAGUUAUCGUUUAUUUGAUAGUACCUUACUACUUGGAUAACCGUGGUAAUUCUAGAGCUAAUACAUGCUAAAAAUCCCGACUUCGGAAGGGAUGUAUUUAUUAGAUUAAAAACCAAUGCCCUUUGGGCUCACUGGUGAUUCAUGAUAACUUCUCGAAUCGCAUGGCCUUGCGCCCGGCAAUGGUUCAUUCAAAUUUCUGCCCUAUCAACUUUCGACGGCUGGGUCUUGGCCAGCCAUGGUGACAACGGGUAACGGAGGGUUAGGGCUCGACCCCGGAGAAGGAGCCUGAGAAACGGCUACUACAUCCAAGGAAGGCAGCAGGCGCGCAAAUUACCCAAUCCCGACACGGGGAGGUAGUGACAAUACAUACUGAUACAGGGCUCUUUUGGGUCUUGUAAUUGGAAUGAGUACAAUUUAAAUCCCUUAACGAGGAACAAUUGGAGGGCAAGUCUGGUGCCAGCAGCCGCGGUAAUUCCAGCUCCAAUAGCGUAUAUUAAAGUUGUUGCGGUUAAAAAGCUCGUAGUUGAACCUUGGGCCUGGCUGGCCGGUCCGCCUCACCGCGUGCACUGGUACGGUCGGGCCUUUCCCUCUGGGGAACCGCAUGCCCUUCACUGGGUGUGUCGGGGAACCAGGACUUUUACUUUGAAAAAAUUAGAGUGUUCAAAGCAGGCUUAUGCUCGGAUACAUUAGCAUGGAAUAAUAGAAUAGGACGUGCGGUUCUAUUUUGUUGGUUUCUAGGACCGCCGUAAUGAUUAAUAGGGACAGUCGGGGGCAUCAGUAUUCAAUUGUCAGAGGUGAAAUUCUUGGAUUUAUUGAAGACUAACUACUGCGAAAGCAUUUGCCAAGGAUGUUUUCAUUAAUCAGGAACGAAAGUUAGGGGAUCGAAGACGAUCAGAUACCGUCGUAGUCUUAACCAUAAACUAUGCGAACUAGGGAUCGGACGAUGUUAUUAUUUGACUCGUUCGGCACCUUACACGAAAGUACAA
This 1022-nucleotide ribosomal RNA is filed under the name Conlarium sacchari. Its description in RNAcentral is "SSU rRNA". It matches the Rfam family "Eukaryotic small subunit ribosomal RNA", at positions 71 to 1102 of the family's 1831-position model. The record is from RNAcentral. Lineage: Eukaryota; Fungi; Ascomycota; Sordariomycetes; Conlariaceae.